CACGAGAGGUGUCUGAGCAAAUGUCGGUGAGCACGGUCACCCCCCCCUCGAGCAAGACGGCCUCCUGAACACGGCUCCUGCUCUCGUCACGGGUCGAGGCUGUGGUUUGGAGCCUGAGCUGCCGCUGCCGUAAGCCGGGCUUGGCGAGCACUGAGGCCCCCGAGGGCGACGUGGGUCCCCCCAGGGCUCGUGGCUGGUGGCAAAGCCUGAGGAGCAACAGUGGGACCCGGGCUCCAGCUGCCCCAUCUGUAGAAUGGGGCUAAAGUCAGUUUCCAGCUGCAGGGGACCCAGGACAGGCAGGAAGAACCACUGCAGCUCCAGCCAGAACCCCGUUUUGCAGAUCAAGGACAGGAGUAAAGAUGCAGAGAUCGCACCGCUGCAAGCGUCAGACCCCAGGGCCCCUGGAUCCUGUUCACCCAGAGGAAAGCACAAUUCUCCAGGGGCUUUUCAGUUCCACGGGGAUUUUCUCACCAGCACUGGACCUCAAGCAGCAGUAGGUUUCAGGCUCAGGCUCUGCCAGUAGAGGCUCUGGCGGUGCUUUUCCAGAAUUGCAUGUUGUGGGUCCCUCCUUUUCUCCACCCUGGACCUCCUUUAUCAUUCUUUCCCCAUGGAUCCCUGUGGGAAAA
This is a long non-coding RNA of Physeter macrocephalus (sperm whale), 626 nucleotides long. RefSeq lists it as uncharacterized. Lineage: Eukaryota; Metazoa; Chordata; Mammalia; Artiodactyla; Physeteridae. The record is from RefSeq and is a predicted model, not a curated record. The transcript has 3 exons.